GUUUAUUUCUUGCGCCGAAAAUUUGGAAGCUCGUCGCGUUUUGUUUUUAAAACUUAUCUUUACGGUUAUUUACUGGAUUCGGUUUCGGGACUCCCGGUGUUGUGAUGCCCACCCGUUCCGAGCAGGGCUUAUUCAGUUGCGGCAGCAUGAUACAACACCGGGAAUUGGAUUUUCUGCUUACUGAAAUUCGUGCGCUUUUCAGCGCCUGAAUUUCAUCUCCCACAAAUAAGGCAGCGGUUUCCGUACAGCAGCAACGUUAUGUUGCGUGAGAACGGCGCACUCGAUUAGGUUAUUUCCAGGGUCCUGGUCCGCCGGCUAAACCGUUCACCAGACUUUCGGUGGCUUCCCUGCAUGCCGUAGCCCUGGAGCUACGGAAAAUUUUGGUGUACAGUUUCGCUUUUCACCCCUGUGUAAGUAUCUAAUAAAAUUUCAAUGAAGAUGAGUUGAAA
Long non-coding RNA from Uranotaenia lowii, 449 nucleotides. RefSeq lists it as uncharacterized. The record is from RefSeq and is a predicted model, not a curated record. NCBI's taxonomy places the organism in Eukaryota, Metazoa, Arthropoda, Insecta, Diptera, Culicidae. The transcript has 2 exons.